AAAUAAUCAUUUAGUUGUGCGGGAGCCACGGAGCAUACUGCAUGCGUUCAACAUAGCCUUGUGUUGGCGUGCUGCUUCUUUUCUGAAAUACACUGAGUUGAAUCGUCGAGAAUCACUUGCCCUUGCUUCAGAUGGAUUGAAUUAUGAAUGCAAUGAGGCUCCAUCAUAGGCAGGCUUAUAGGUUCGUAGUAUCGUUAGGACGGGCAUCUUACUAUAACAAUAUAAGACACAUUUUGUAUAUAUAACACAUGUGCAUAUAUAAGUUAUCGAGAUAUUAUA
Molecule: long non-coding RNA, 279 nt
Organism: Zea mays
Lineage: Eukaryota; Viridiplantae; Streptophyta; Magnoliopsida; Poales; Poaceae
Exons: 2
Source: RefSeq, a predicted model, not a curated record